Long non-coding RNA from Carassius gibelio (silver crucian carp), 1525 nucleotides. RefSeq lists it as uncharacterized. NCBI's taxonomy places the organism in Eukaryota, Metazoa, Chordata, Actinopteri, Cypriniformes, Cyprinidae. The record is from RefSeq and is a predicted model, not a curated record. The transcript is spliced from 4 exons.
CGAUCGGUCUGCGCAGCGCCGGUGCACUCGAAUAAACAUCGAUCGACGUCAUGGAACUGCGUAAUUUAUUCACGAAUUGGACGUUACGGCUCGCGCUGUGUUUGAUACUACGUUUGGAAAAAUGGCGCGUAAUCUGAAUUUGAAAUCAACACCACCUGUUUGUGUCUCAUCUGGGACGUUAUUUUAUUGAGUCGCUGAGGUUGGUGUCAAUGUGAAACAGGUAGUGAGUCACCUGGGGAUUCCUGACCGUGCUUUUCCCAUUGUUUCUCUGUCCUCUCUCUUGAGAGAUCUUUCCUCAGUCAUCUCUUUUAUACCCAUGAUGGAGAAGACUAGACAGAGAAAGGAAGACGUUAGAGGUCACAUGUGGUGUGUGUACAUUGUGGGUCUGUGGUGAGAAGUUGAUAAAGUGGACAGCUGGCAGCAUUUCCUCUCCUCGACCCUGAUGAGAACUCAAAAAAAGACGAAGCAGGAAAUGACUGCGGAAACAAUCCAUCCUACAAAUGGAGGAAGGGAGAGAAAGAAGGUACGUAGGUGUGUUGGAGCAGAUUGGAGCUAAACUUCCCUCCAGGAGCUUGGGACACCCCUCGUACCUAGUUUGAUUGAACACUUCUGGACCAAACCUACGCCCUCGGUGUCUCUUUCUGGCUGGACGGAUUGAUCUCCAUCAGUAUUAAUCUCUGAGAGCUCAUGAGGCUGGUGUGAUCUCAGACAUGGGUAUUUUGGCACAGCAGUUAAAUCAGGCUUUAAACCAGUCGACCGUGACCUGAUCCCACACAGCUGUGAGAUAUAUCUCUCUCUCUCAUGCUCUCGCUUUCUCGUUUCCCAUCAUCCCAUGCUCUCUUGACACAGAGACACACUCACAAUCAAUCACGAGACUUAUUUCCCGUGCUCUCGCUCGCUCUUGAUGUACAUUGGCUUUAGGAUGUGGUGUGCUAUGAUAAGCUCUUUUCCUGGAUGACGGUGUAUGACACUGACCUAAUUCUACUCUGUAUGGGAAUAACGACUUCCCGUGUUUGUUGUCUUGAUGGUUGUGAGACAGAAGACGAGAAGCACAGUGUGAACACAUUUGUAAAUCCUACAUGAGUCACGACACGCCUCGGUUUUUUCUUUUUUUGUCCAGGAACAAUUGUCUCUUUCAGUGUACUUCCUCCUAAACUCUUGUCAUCGCUAAAAAAAAAAACUUCCUGGACUUCUUUCAGCCAUUCGUUCCUAACUCAUACUGAUGUAUCAUAUUGAUCUACUAUCAAUAUUUCAUGAAACUGCAAGUUUUUGUGUCUGCAGAGCUCAAAGCAAACCCACAUUGAGCAAAACCACCAUUUGAGCAGCUCUUUAAUGGAAAUAAAUGUUUGUGUGUUAGCCAGAUGGGGUUCAAAAUGUGUGUGCGUUUUGUGGAUAACUGUAUGUAAAUUAUGUUUAUCUGUGAGUGUUAAACCAAUCAGCCAUGAGAGAAUGCAUCUUUACAAUACUGUGGAGGGAAAGCAUGCUACGCUGAUAUCAUGGUACUGAAUGAUUAGCAUGAUGUGUU